Panonychus citri (citrus red mite) is the source of this 2061-nucleotide long non-coding RNA. RefSeq lists it as uncharacterized. The record is from RefSeq and is a predicted model, not a curated record. The transcript has 3 exons. Lineage: Eukaryota; Metazoa; Arthropoda; Arachnida; Trombidiformes; Tetranychidae.
CCCUGAAAAGAAUAUGAUAUUAACGGUGAAAUAGUGAGAGAAGAAGAAGAGACAAAUUAGGCUGGAAGAUGAUGGAAUCAAAAGAUAAAUACAAUCAUUAUGGGAAAAUGGAAUCAAGGAAAAGACAACAAACAAUAGGAAUCGAGAGAGAAACAAUAAAAAACAAAGAAAGUACAUUAAAAGAAAAGGAAAACAACAAGAGAAAGAAAAGUUUUUAAGAUGUUCAAUGGACAAAUUCGAGGAUUGGAAUUAAUGGUUUACAACAAUUUAUUAAAUGCUGUUAUAAUUCUGUCUCAAGAUAAUCUAUUAUUUGGAGUAACAUGAUUACCUCGCUUACGUUUUAUCAUCUCCCAUGAUUAUUCAAGCUUAAUAGUGAGUUACAGAGACACACAAACAGUUAUCACCAACUCUUUAGGAUCGAUGAAGGGAAAGAGGACAAAAGACACUAAACUUUAACUUAUACAUGUUAUUGAUAUUUCGAUAUUACUUUUCAAUGGAUUGAUAGAGAAACAAUUCUGUGGAUGGUUAAAGUCAAUAUUCAGAGGAAGAUGAUGAUGAUGAUGAUGAUGAAGAUGAUGAAAGGAGAAAUGCAUUAUCACAGCUUCCGGAUAAAGUUAAUCUAUCCUCUUUUGUCUUCGUCUUCCUUUUCACUUCCUUUUUUAAAUAAUCUUAACUUGAUCUCACCUUACGAUCAUCUCAUCUCACUCAAUUACUUUCAUAAACUUUAUAUAAAGUUACGAAUAAUGAAAGUUAAUUGAAACGAUCGAAUUUCGUUUUAAUCAAAUUGAAUAAUUUAAAUGAUCAACUGACGAUUUAAUCAAACUCUACUAAUCUUAUUAAUGUAAACACAAAAUAAUCGGACUAAUUUAAUCUAAUUAAUUAGAACUAAUAAUGAGAAAACAAAUUAUUUCGUUUAAUUUAGUUGAAACAAUUAAAUGCUAGUUAAUCUCUUCAAGUCUAAUCAAUAUUAUGUUCAAUGGUUAAAGAAAUCAACUGUUUAUUUUUUUAAUUAAACUGUUAAUACAAUAAGUAAUUAGUUAAUCAAUAAUCUCAAAGCUAAAGCAAAGUUUUGAACUAAUAUUUCCGAUUCAAAUAUUGACAACUGACAAUUUGACUAUCGAUAUGAACAAAGAUAAUGAAUAAUUUUUUUCUCAAUCUCAACAAUAAUCAAGGUUAAUUGGAUCACUUUUUAAAAAGUUGAUUGCUGUUAAUUUAAUUGAAAAUAAAGAAAACUAAAAAUAAUCAAUGUGAGAAUGAGAUUGUGAUGAUUAUAAUAGUUUGUAAGGUGAAAGUAAUUUAACAAUAAAAGAGUUGAUUCUAUGAAUAAGAUAGUACAUUGAUUCAUGUGAAUUCAUUACAAGAUCAGGAUUAUCAUGAUGAUCAAUUCAUUCAUUGAUUGUGAUAAUCAAUUUGUUUUUUUCUCUUUUUUAUCCAGAAAAACCUUUUAAUAACCUUUGCCAUUGUCGAGUUAUUAUUAAAGGAGAGACUCACAUGGCGAAAAGGAGGAUCUCUCAAUGAUGGAGAAAGGAUUAAGAUGAGGAGGGAGUGAUGAUGAUGAUGGUGGUGAGAGAGAGAUGAAGACUGAUGAUAUACGGAAAAUGUUAAGACGUAAAGGCGGUGACCCGUUUAACCAGAAAACAAGCAAGAAACUUUCAUAGAGAAAAUGAAACUUUGAAUCAGAUGAAGAUGAUAUGAUUUAGAAUUGAAAGAAAUUCUCAACAUUCUCAAUGGUUAAUAUUGGAAUAUUAUAGUUGAUUCUGUAAUUGGAAUAUACAUCUUACAACAGAACUUUGUUUCGAUCCAGCUAAUUAACUCUUUCCUCAAGCGUAUUAUUAUUUUUCCAUCAUCAUCAUUAACAGUGGAUGAUAAUUAUAAUCAUAAUCAAAGCAAAAUUAUUAUGAUACUGAUUAUAAUUUGUUGUUGGUAAACCAAAGUAUCAAAUUGAUAAAAUGGUAAAUUGUUUCAACUUUAACGAUCAAAAUACUGAAUGUAUAAUAAUGAUUAGCUGGAAUAAUUUAUCAUCUAUAAAGGAUAAAAAUAAUUGGAUAAUAAUAAUGAGAG